Molecule: long non-coding RNA, 3258 nt
Filed under: Hordeum vulgare
Lineage: Eukaryota; Viridiplantae; Streptophyta; Magnoliopsida; Poales; Poaceae
Description: long non-coding RNA (HVUL_LNC002346)
Source: RNAcentral
UUCUUCUUUUGUCGUUUGUUUUCGUCUGUAGUCGGACCCUGCUCUUACUCUUGAUGAUUAUGUAAUGUACUGAUGUGACUCUGAUGUAGCUUGUGGCGAGUGUAAGCCUACUCUUUAUAUAUCUCUCCUUUUCAGUACAUGUACUUGUAACGAUAUCCAUUCUUGCGACACGACGAGAUGCGCUUCUAUCCCUGACGAGGCCCCCGUGCCAAAUUGAGGAUAGGGUCGCAUCUUGGGCGUGGCAUAUAUGGUAUCAGGCUGAUGGCAUGCUAACACAUCUAAUAAAGGAAGAGAACAUAGUUGUUGGUCGAAGCCUGACUCGACGGGGCAUGCUGACGCACCAAAUAAAAGAAGGAGAACAUAGUUGUUGGUGGGAAAUCUGGAAGGUCAACAUUCCCUCCAAAUUGAAAGUAUUCGAAAGAUGUUAGCGCAAUGCGUGUUGCCCAUCAAUUACGUUAGAAACCAUAGAAAUAUGUCGACAAUGUCCUGUUGUCACUAGUGGGGACAGGGCCUAUAGUCCCAGCCCGUAAGGGGCUUUAGUCCCGGUUCACCAACCGGGACAAAAGAGGCGGGACUAAAGGCCAUGCCUUUUAAUCACGGGUCUUAACACGGACCGGGACUAAAGGAUCCGUCUGUUUACUUUGUUUGUUUGACCCGAAAAUGUACCUUUAUUUAUUUAUUUUUCAAAUUUUAUUUUUGAAUAUUCUUUGAUUUGUUUUUAUGUUUUAUUUCAAUUUUUCAAUCUUUGAUUUAUUUGACAAUUUAAUCUCUAAUCACCCAUCCUCACCCCAUCCUUUCACUGCUUCAGCCCGAGCACGUUUAACUUCAUGGUUCUAUCGCCCCUAGUUGCCAAGUCUGCACUUGUUGUUCUCCUGACAACAGUAAGCUUUCAAUCCUAAACAACCUAGGGUUUGAUGUCAUGUCACAUGAUUUAAUUUUUUGAAUUCAAACAAUUAUUAAAAUAAACAAAAUAAGUAAUAAUAAUAGUGAAUUUCAAUGAAAACAACCUAAAGAUUUUAAAUAAAAUUAUUUUUUCUUACUUUUGUGGAAAAAACUUCUUUUUGCCAUAACUUUUUUUACAUUUGGAAUUUUGAGCAUCUGAGAAAACUUCACUGGGCAAGCCCCGGUGAAAUCUAAGAAAACUUCAAUAUGCACCAUACUAUAACAUGUUAAAAUCUACAGAAAGUACUAACUAAAAAUAAUAAAAAACAACAAUUAAAUGACUAAAACAACUAUAUAAGCAAAACAAUAUUGUUUUAAUUAAAAUACAAAUUUAAAUUAUUGUAAAAAUAACCAAAUAAAUCUUACUGUGAUAACAAUCUAACAGAUGACUAGGAUAAAAAAGAAUUAAAUUAAAAACUAUUUGUAAACUCAAGUUAUUCACAAUUUGGGUUUGAAGCAAAUUUGAACAAAUUCAAAUUUAAACCAUUCAAAUUUAAAAACUAAUUGCACAAAGAAAAACUAGACAAAAAUUUGAAUCUAAUGCAAAAAUAAUCACUAAAAAAAUUAAAUAUCCUAAAAGAUAUAAGCAAUUUAAAACAGAAACUACAAACAGAAACAAAAUUUAAAAACAGGAAAAAAUAAAAAUACAAAACCCCUUUAGUCCCGGUUCGUGUCUCGAACCGGGACUAAAGGUCUACCCUUUAGUCCCGGUUCAAGACACGAACUAGGACUGAAGCCUCCAAAUCCUUUAGUCCCGGUUCGAGACACGAACUGGGACUAAAGGUCCCUUUUGAACCGGGACUAAUGACCGACCGGUGCCCUUGCCGUUCGAACCGGGACAAAUGUGUAAAUUAAGCUGGGACGGAAGCCCCUUUUUCUACUAGUGUGUGCAGUAUGUUGCGCGACUCGUGGAUGCACCCUCUGUUGCUAUGUACAAUAGCACGCUGCGUAUGGGCAUUUUCCGAUUCAGAAGUAGUUGAGCAUAUGUUGGCAAACCAACACAAGGAACCGGAACUUCUCCAUGAUGGGCUCAAUAUCGCAUGUCCAUUUCACCUAGUUUGUUGUGACCCUCUGGGCUAUUUGGUCUGCUAGACGGAAAUGUACUUAUACACGAAGGAGAACAUCUAAGUCCAAUGGCAACACAUAUGUUCGUAAUGAGUUUUUUGGCAUAUCUUGAUGUAGCAAUGCCAUCAAUUGCUCACCUCCAGGAUGCUAGACCAUCCCCUGCUCAGCUCGUGAAGUGGAUUCCUCCACUAAUCGGGGUAGUAAAGAUCAAUGUUGAUGGAGUUAUCAACAGGGACAACCAUAUUGGUGCCUUUAGUUCUAUAUGUAUGUGAUGAUACCGUCUUAUAUCUUGGUUAUCCGCUCUUGUAUUCCACGGAAUGAUAAAUCCCACUACUCUCAAAGCUCUGUCUUGUCGUGAGGCACUCUCCCUUCCAAAUGAUCUUCUGGUUCAGGGUUUAAAGGUAGCAUCUGAUUGCAAAGAUAUUGUUACGGAUAUUAAUAAUGGCACACACUUGGAGUUAUUGGAACGGUGGUGACGGACAUCACAGAAACAAUGAAGAAUGUUGUCUCUAUUUCUUUUGUCCAUGAAGAUCCUCUUUCCAAUACAAAGGCGCGCCAUUUAGUCAAAUAUGCCUUACAGUUGGGAGAGGGCCGCCACCUAUGAUAAUAAACCCAUUUGAUUCGUCAGUUAUUCCUGUAAACCAUAUUAUUGAGCAAUGCAACAAAACAUGGUUAUCCCUAUUAAAAAGACCGUUUUUACGGUACUCUAUACCGCUGACAGGGAAGGGGGCAGUAUAUUAAAAUCGGACCACUCAUUUUCUGAGGGUAAGAUUGACAUAUAUUUGUUGUUACGGGAAACUUUAGCUACGUUGUCAGUCGGCUGAUAAUGGCGUCCGGAAACAGAUUUGUUGUCCCACGACUCCCACGACCUCCGGCUCGGUCUCGUCUUCCUCGUUCCACACCGGCCUGAGGACCACCGCUCUCCGUCUCCACUGCAUCCCCAGCCAUGUCGUCAUGUCCAUCAAAGCCGUCGUGAGCUGCUAAUCAUCCCACUUCCUUUCCUGUCGUUUUUGUCCACCGUAUCAUCGUGUCACCCAAGCCGGCGCCCUGUCUGCCAUGGACGAGUCCCUGGAGCUCGUCCCGCUCCCGCAAGCCCAGAGACCCAACCACGCGCGUGCCUGUUCACGCAGCAUGCCCACAACAACAGCCGCGGCGCACGCCCCACAGGCACAGCCCUGCAGUGACAGCUCCCAACUCCCGCAGCCUCGCGGCGGUCAGCGAUCAACACUAUCCUAGAGGGCAUGCCAUGGC